GAUGAACGCUGGCGGCGUGCCUAAUACAUGCAAGUCCAGCGAACCGGGGACGGGUGAGUAACACGUGGAUAACCUCCUAUAAGACUAGGAUAACUUCGGGAAACCGGAGCUAAACCGGAUACUUAAAGAUGGAUCUGCUCUGCAUUAGCGAGUGGGUAAGGUAACUGCUUACCAAGGCAACGAUGCAUAGCCGACCUGAGAGGGUGAGCGGCCAGACUGGAACUGAGGCACGGUCCGGAAUCCUGGUGGAGGCAGGAGUAGGGAAUGAUCCGCAAAGGGAGAAAGCCUGACGGGGCAACGCCGCGGUAGUGAUGAAGGUCAUCGGAUCGUAAAACUCUGUUAUUAGGGAAGCGGUACCUAAUCAGAAGGCCGCGGCUAACUACGUGCCAGCAGCCGCGGUAAUAC
Molecule: ribosomal RNA, 405 nt
Filed under: uncultured bacterium
Lineage: Bacteria
Description: partial 16S ribosomal RNA
Rfam family: Bacterial small subunit ribosomal RNA
Source: RNAcentral